UGGACCAAUUCUGUGGAAGUAAAUUCCAUUGAUAGUGUUGGAGGAUCAGCUGGUUUUGAGUAAGCACUCAGUAUUGUCCACAGUAGUUAUUAACAAAGUGUACCAUAGUAUUGUGCCACACUACUAGUGUUAUGGUAAUUGUUGUAUACCACGUACAUGGAGAGAGUCUCUUCUUUUUGUCCAUUUUCUUCAAAAAUUUUAUUGUACAUGUAUUUUUUCUGACUCAGAAAAAUUUUCAACAAAGUGCAGAGCCACUUGGGGAAACCCUAGUCAAUGAAUCACCUUUUACUAAAAUAUGCAACUUAUUUCAAUGUUUUUGCUGAACAUAUUG
Saccostrea cuccullata (small rock oyster) is the source of this 331-nucleotide long non-coding RNA. RefSeq lists it as uncharacterized. NCBI's taxonomy places the organism in Eukaryota, Metazoa, Mollusca, Bivalvia, Ostreida, Ostreidae. The transcript has 2 exons. The record is from RefSeq and is a predicted model, not a curated record.